GACGAACGCUGGCGGCGUGCUUAACACAUGCAAGUCGAACGGAAAGGCCCUGCUUUUGUGGGUUGCUCGAGUGGCGAACGGGUGAGUAACACGUGAGUAACCUGCCCUUGACUUUGGGAUAACUUCAGGAAACUGGGGCUAAUACCGGAUAGGAGCUCCUGCUGCAUGGUGGGGGUUGGAAAGUGUCGGCGGUGGGGGAUGGACUCGCGGCUUAUCAGCUUGUUGGUGGGGUAGUGGCUUACCAAGGCUUUGACGGGUAGCCGGCCUGAGAGGGUGACCGGCCACAUUGGGACUGAGAUACGGCCCAGACUCCAACGGGAGGCAGCAGUGGGGAAUAUUGCACAAUGGGCGGAAGCCUGAUGCAGCAACGCCGCGUGCGGGAUGACGGCCUUCGGGUUGUAAACCGCUUUCGCCUGUGACGAAGCGUGAGUGACGGUAAUGGGUAAAGAAGCACCGGCUAACUACGUG
Molecule: ribosomal RNA, 468 nt
Filed under: uncultured bacterium
Lineage: Bacteria
Description: partial 16S ribosomal RNA
Rfam family: Bacterial small subunit ribosomal RNA
Source: RNAcentral